Molecule: long non-coding RNA, 2011 nt
Organism: Magallana angulata
Lineage: Eukaryota; Metazoa; Mollusca; Bivalvia; Ostreida; Ostreidae
Exons: 3
Source: RefSeq, a predicted model, not a curated record
AUAAUAUAUGCGGAUGUCCCUCAGUGUGCAAUGUUAAUGUCGUCUGCUCGAUGUUCUUGUACACGUCAAACUCUUAUGUUGAAGAGUGUUGAGUGAAUGUGGAUUUCUUGUACGAGAAUGUCUAAAUCUCAAGUUUUAAAGUAGUUCUCAAGAAACAAUUCCUCUUUACCCAAAACACAUCGGUUCAUUCUCUGUUUCAUUUUCAGAACACAGGAGUGUUGCUGAAGAGGUUGAGGUAUGCAGUGAUGUAUUCAAAGAGAAGAACAAGCAUGAUGAGUAAUUAAGGACAGGAUUGUCUUAGGAGCAGUCCCAGGCAAAGGAAGCAGCUAUCCCGUUCCUGUUCAGAGGUGACACUGCGGAUUCUGUGCUCCCGCCGGUGCUUGAUGUAUCCGUCAUCGACAUGGUUCUGAUCCGGUCCACCCCUCAAAGGCUAUUGCCCACGAGUCUGUGGAAUUGGCAUCGCCCGACACUCCACAGCACUUCAACUGUAGAGGGAGAUAUUCAGAUGUUAUAAGAGACCAAGAGUGGAAAUGGGGAAAUGUUAUAAUUGUCUGGAACUCGACAAUAUCAAAAACAUAUUGCCGUAUUUCGGAAUGGAUUAGACUACAUCAUUACAUGUACUUAGAAUUUAUGAGUUGAAGACAUUAAUAAAUGAUUAUAACAAUUGAAAAAGGAAGGAAACCGGUUUUUCUUUUGUUUGCAUCAAUAAUCCAUUUGUUGACUCAAAAUUGAUAAACACUACCUAUCCAGAGAAAGUUUUUUUUUGUGAAACGCAGAGAUUUGAGUUUUUUCAAUAUUUCAAUACUCAAAUAUUUAGACUUAGACUUAAGGUUUUUUUUGGUGAUAUUCAGAGAGUUUGGGUACUCUAUAUGCAAUAUUUUGCAAAAGAAAAAAGAAAACUAAGUUCAACAGCUUGUAUUUUGCAAAAAUUAUCAAAAAUCAAAAUCCAAGUAUUGUGCUACUCUCUAAUAUAUGUACAAGUGAUCUGCAAAACAAAAACAAAAAAAAAGUUUCCUAUCCUGAAAUCUGUAAGAAGACUAAUCCGUUCAAAAAGGGUUACUUUUUUGGCAGCCGCCCGCCCGCAAUAUUUUACCAUUUCAAUAACCGGAUUUAAAAAGCAUCGAAAUUUGCCUGUUGGUUCUACAGUGUACAUGUAUUUUCUUGGAGUAGUGAAGCUAUGCUCCGCUUAUCCGUUCUCAUAGAGAAAAAGCCUGCUUGGGGACUCGGACAGCUUAAUGUCAGGCAAAAAUUGUAGUGACCGAUUAACUUGAUCCUGUUCGAAGGAUGCACUGUAAACCAACUUUUAUUCCAGAAGACUGUUUUCGCGAUAUACCGCAGAUAACCGUAUUCGCAGCGACUAAUAAUCGCGACGACGAGGCUCUCGUGAACCCGACGAAAAUUUAUCGCACGCGAAUAAAAGUUAGUCUACAAUAAAUAUGUCCACUAUAUAUUAUUAUACAGUUAUUGACUGGGUAUGAGGGCGACGUUUGAUUUGUUGGAUGAUGCCCAAAGCCGAGAGCAAACAGUCAAACAAACCUUACGUCGCCAAAAUCCCAGUCAACAGCUGUUUUGUUAAACUCUUUAUUCGUGAUUCAAGUAUAAUUUUUAGUAGCAGUCAUUCAAGUUAUAUAUGGGGUUCAAACGAAAUACUAAUAUAUGCUCUGAAAUGCUGAUGCUUAAUUCUUGCCCCUGUUGUGUGAAAUUGACGUAUAUAAUACCGUCACAGCCCAAUCAUGGCCCUAAAUUUGUUUCAGAAUAGAAACCAAUCAUUGAAAGUGUGUAAAUAUUCCGAUAAAACCUUCACUACCGGUGUGUAGCUAUAACUAUAUACUGCACGGGUUCUGUAGUAUUCUAUACACCUAGCUUGGCCCACAGGAGGUGGCAACUCCAAUUAGAUAUUUUUCUUUAGCUGACACAAAACAAUAAAAAAGAUUCAUUUUACAGUUUUUAUUGCUGGAGAGGAAUUAUAUUGGUAAAAUGUUAUGAAAUACGAAGUAGGGUGUGUUUAAAA